CAGCCGCCGCGGUAAUACGAAGGGGGCUAGCGUUGUUCGGAUUUACUGGGCGUAAAGGGCGCGUAGGCGGACUGAUAAGUCAGGGGUGAAAUCCCAAGGCUCAACCUUGGAACUGCCUUUGAUACUGUUUGUCUUGAGUUCGAGAGUGGUAAGUGGAACUGCGAGUGUAGAGGUGAAAUUCGUAGAUAUUCGCAAGAACACCAGUGGCGAAGGCGGCUUACUGGCUCGAAACUGACGCUGAGGCGCGAAAGCGUGGGGAGCAAACAGGAUUAGAUACCCCCGUAGUCCCUGUCUCUUAUAC
Molecule: ribosomal RNA, 301 nt
Filed under: uncultured bacterium
Lineage: Bacteria
Description: partial 16S ribosomal RNA
Rfam family: Bacterial small subunit ribosomal RNA
Source: RNAcentral